RNAcentral lists this ribosomal RNA (468 nucleotides) under uncultured bacterium. RNAcentral's name for it is "partial 16S ribosomal RNA". It matches the Rfam family "Bacterial small subunit ribosomal RNA", at positions 28 to 507 of the family's 1533-position model. The record is from RNAcentral.
GACGAACGCUGGCGGCGUGCUUAACACAUGCAAGUCGAACGGAAAGGCCCUGCUUUUGUGGGGUGCUCGAGUGGCGAACGGGUGAGUAACACGUGAGUAACCUGCCCUUGACUUCGGGAUAACUUCAGGAAACUGGGGCUAAUACCGGAUAGGAGCUCCUGCUGCAUGGUGGGGGUUGGAAAGUUUCGGCGGUUGGGGAUGGACUCGCGGCUUAUCAGCUUGUUGGUGGGGUAGUGGCUUACCAAGGCUUUGACGGGUAGCCGGCCUGAGAGGGUGACCGGCCACAUUGGGACUGAGAUACGGCCCAGACUCCUACGGGAGGCAGCAGUGGGGAAUAUUGCACAAUGGGCGGAAGCCCGAUGCAGCAACGCCGCGUGCGGGAUGACGGCCUUCGGGUUGUAAACCGCUUUCGCCUGUGACGAAGCGUGAGUGACGGUAAUGGGUAAAGAAGCACCGGCUAACUACGUG